RNAcentral lists this ribosomal RNA (2952 nucleotides) under Escherichia coli. Its description in RNAcentral is "partial 23S ribosomal RNA". It matches the Rfam family "Bacterial large subunit ribosomal RNA". Lineage: Bacteria; Pseudomonadati; Pseudomonadota; Gammaproteobacteria; Enterobacterales; Enterobacteriaceae. The record is from RNAcentral.
GGUUAAGCGACUAAGCGUACACGGUGGAUGCCCUGGCAGUCAGAGGCGAUGAAGGACGUGCUAAUCUGCGAUAAGCGUCGGUAAGGUGAUAUGAACCGUUAUAACCGGCGAUUUCCGAAUGGGGAAACCCAGUGUGUUUCGACACACUAUCAUUAACUGAAUCCAUAGGUUAAUGAGGCGAACCGGGGGAACUGAAACAUCUAAGUACCCCGAGGAAAAGAAAUCAACCGAGAUUCCCCCAGUAGCGGCGAGCGAACGGGGAGCAGCCCAGAGCCUGAAUCAGUAUGUGUGUUAGUGGAAGCGUCUGGAAAGGCGCGCGAUACAGGGUGACAGCCCCGUACACAAAAAUGCACAUAUUGUGAGCUCGAUGAGUAGGGCGGGACACGUGGUAUCCUGUCUGAAUAUGGGGGGACCAUCCUCCAAGGCUAAAUACUCCUGACUGACCGAUAGUGAACCAGUACCGUGAGGGAAAGGCGAAAAGAACCCCGGCGAGGGGAGUGAAAAAGAACCUGAAACCGUGUACGUACAAGCAGUGGGAGCACGCUUAGGCGUGUGACUGCGUACCUUUUGUAUAAUGGGUCAGCGACUUAUAUUCUGUAGCAAGGUUAACCGAAUAGGGGAGCCGAAGGGAAACCGAGUCUUAACUGGGCGUUAAGUUGCAGGGUAUAGACCCGAAACCCGGUGAUCUAGCCAUGGGCAGGUUGAAGGUUGGGUAACACUAACUGGAGGACCGAACCGACUAAUGUUGAAAAAUUAGCGGAUGACUUGUGGCUGGGGGUGAAAGGCCAAUCAAACCGGGAGAUAGCUGGUUCUCCCCGAAAGCUAUUUAGGUAGCGCCUCGUGAAUUCAUCUCCGGGGGUAGAGCACUGUUUCGGCAAGGGGGUCAUCCCGACUUACCAACCCGAUGCAAACUGCGAAUACCGGAGAAUGUUAUCACGGGAGACACACGGCGGGUGCUAACGUCCGUCGUGAAGAGGGAAACAACCCAGACCGCCAGCUAAGGUCCCAAAGUCAUGGUUAAGUGGGAAACGAUGUGGGAAGGCCCAGACAGCCAGGAUGUUGGCUUAGAAGCAGCCAUCAUUUAAAGAAAGCGUAAUAGCUCACUGGUCGAGUCGGCCUGCGCGGAAGAUGUAACGGGGCUAAACCAUGCACCGAAGCUGCGGCAGCGACGCUUAUGCGUUGUUGGGUAGGGGAGCGUUCUGUAAGCCUGUGAAGGUGUACUGUGAGGUAUGCUGGAGGUAUCAGAAGUGCGAAUGCUGACAUAAGUAACGAUAAAGCGGGUGAAAAGCCCGCUCGCCGGAAGACCAAGGGUUCCUGUCCAACGUUAAUCGGGGCAGGGUGAGUCGACCCCUAAGGCGAGGCCGAAAGGCGUAGUCGAUGGGAAACAGGUUAAUAUUCCUGUACUUGGUGUUACUGCGAAGGGGGGACGGAGAAGGCUAUGUUGGCCGGGCGACGGUUGUCCCGGUUUAAGCGUGUAGGCUGGUUUUCCAGGCAAAUCCGGAAAAUCAAGGCUGAGGCGUGAUGACGAGGCACUACGGUGCUGAAGCAACAAAUGCCCUGCUUCCAGGAAAAGCCUCUAAGCAUCAGGUAACAUCAAAUCGUACCCCAAACCGACACAGGUGGUCAGGUAGAGAAUACCAAGGCGCUUGAGAGAACUCGGGUGAAGGAACUAGGCAAAAUGGUGCCGUAACUUCGGGAGAAGGCACGCUGAUAUGUAGGUGAAGUCCCUCGCGGAUGGAGCUGAAAUCAGUCGAAGAUACCAGCUGGCUGCAACUGUUUAUUAAAAACACAGCACUGUGCAAACACGAAAGUGGACGUAUACGGUGUGACGCCUGCCCGGUGCCGGAAGGUUAAUUGAUGGGGUCAGCGCAAGCGAAGCUCUUGAUCGAAGCCCCGGUAAACGGCGGCCGUAACUAUAACGGUCCUAAGGUAGCGAAAUUCCUUGUCGGGUAAGUUCCGACCUGCACGAAUGGCGUAAUGAUGGCCAGGCUGUCUCCACCCGAGACUCAGUGAAAUUGAACUCGCUGUGAAGAUGCAGUGUACCCGCGGCAAGACGGAAAGACCCCGUGAACCUUUACUAUAGCUUGACACUGAACAUUGAGCCUUGAUGUGUAGGAUAGGUGGGAGGCUUUGAAGUGUGGACGCCAGUCUGCAUGGAGCCGACCUUGAAAUACCACCCUUUAAUGUUUGAUGUUCUAACGUUGACCCGUGAUCCGGGUUGCGGACAGUGUCUGGUGGGUAGUUUGACUGGGGCGGUCUCCUCCUAAAGAGUAACGGAGGAGCACGAAGGUUGGCUAAUCCUGGUCGGACAUCAGGAGGUUAGUGCAAUGGCAUAAGCCAGCUUGACUGCGAGCGUGACGGCGCGAGCAGGUGCGAAAGCAGGUCAUAGUGAUCCGGUGGUUCUGAAUGGAAGGGCCAUCGCUCAACGGAUAAAAGGUACUCCGGGGAUAACAGGCUGAUACCGCCCAAGAGUUCAUAUCGACGGCGGUGUUUGGCACCUCGAUGUCGGCUCAUCACAUCCUGGGGCUGAAGUAGGUCCCAAGGGUAUGGCUGUUCGCCAUUUAAAGUGGUACGCGAGCUGGGUUUAGAACGUCGUGAGACAGUUCGGUCCCUAUCUGCCGUGGGCGCUGGAGAACUGAGGGGGGCUGCUCCUAGUACGAGAGGACCGGAGUGGACGCAUCACUGGUGUUCGGGUUGUCAUGCCAAUGGCACUGCCCGGUAGCUAAAUGCGGAAGAGAUAAGUGCUGAAAGCAUCUAAGCACGAAACUUGCCCCGAGAUGAGUUCUCCCUGACNNNNNNNNNNUUGCCCCGAGAUGAGUUCUCCCUGACUCCUUGAGAGUCCUGAAGGAACGUUGAAGACGACGACGUUGAUAGGCCGGGUGUGUAAGCGCAGCGAUGCGUUGAGCUAACCGGUACUAAUGAACCGUGAGGCUUAACCUUACAACGCCGAAG